RNAcentral lists this long non-coding RNA (354 nucleotides) under Capsella rubella. Its description in RNAcentral is "long non-coding RNA (CRUB_LNC003605)". The record is from RNAcentral. Lineage: Eukaryota; Viridiplantae; Streptophyta; Magnoliopsida; Brassicales; Brassicaceae.
AUAGAAGUGUUUUUUUUUUCUGGAAAAAUUGAAAACUACAUUCAAAUUCGAAUCUGAGAAAGAGGUUUUAAAUCUACGAAGACCCAGAUAUCGAAUAGAAAUCAUAGUUCCCAAAAAAGAAAGGGUUUUUAAAAACUAAAGGAGGUUCGAAUCCGAGAAAACAAAAACACAAAACUUUAAAACCUUCGAACCCAAAAAAGCAUUGCAAUCACAAAAAAAAAAAAAAAACAGAAUCCAUGGAAUACACGCGAUCAAUAGAAACUUUCAACAAAUUAGACAAACAAAACCUUGCAUUGGUGAUGAUGUCCUGUUGGAGAAAGCUUCAAUCGGUGUUCCAAUGGAAAAACAAAAAAC